CGGCGCCUACUCCACAACAAUAGCCGCCGCCAUGCCUAAAAAAGGAGGAUAAAACCACCGUCGGCUCACGGUGCGGCAGUGUGGAGACCUGUCGUAAUGCGGUGCACCCAGAGCGGUGACUGCGAGGAUAUUCCAGGCGGAGGCCGGAUAUCCGGAGCCUGUCAAUAUGGCA
RNAcentral lists this non-coding RNA (172 nucleotides) under bovine gut metagenome. Its description in RNAcentral is "malK-I RNA". It matches the Rfam family "malK-I RNA". The record is from RNAcentral.